Molecule: ribosomal RNA, 2758 nt
Filed under: Klebsiella pneumoniae
Lineage: Bacteria; Pseudomonadati; Pseudomonadota; Gammaproteobacteria; Enterobacterales; Enterobacteriaceae
Also listed under: 1 other name
Description: bacterial LSU rRNA
Rfam family: Bacterial large subunit ribosomal RNA
Source: RNAcentral
CACUAUCGUUAACUGAAUACAUAGGUUAACGAGGCGAACCGGGGGAACUGAAACAUCUAAGUACCCCGAGGAAAAGAAAUCAACCGAGAUUCCCCCAGUAGCGGCGAGCGAACGGGGAGCAGCCCAGAGUCUGAAUCAGCUUGUGUGUUAGUGGAACGGUCUGGAAAGUCCGACGGUACAGGGUGAUAGUCCCGUACACCAAAAUGCACAGGUUGUGAACUCGAAGAGUAGGGCGGGACACGUGGUAUCCUGUCUGAAUAUGGGGGGACCAUCCUCCAAGGCUAAAUACUCCUGACUGACCGAUAGUGAACCAGUACCGUGAGGGAAAGGCGAAAAGAACCCCGGCGAGGGGAGUGAAAAAGAACCUGAAACCGUGUACGUACAAGCAGUGGGAGCACCUUCGGGUGUGACUGCGUACCUUUUGUAUAAUGGGUCAGCGACUUAUAUUCUGUAGCAAGGUUAACCGUAUAGGGGAGCCGCAGGGAAACCGAGUCUUAACUGGGCGUUAAGUUGCAGGGUAUAGACCCGAAACCCGGUGAUCUAGCCAUGGGCAGGUUGAAGGUUGGGUAACACUAACUGGAGGACCGAACCGACUAAUGUUGAAAAAUUAGCGGAUGACUUGUGGCUGGGGGUGAAAGGCCAAUCAAACCGGGAGAUAGCUGGUUCUCCCCGAAAGCUAUUUAGGUAGCGCCUCGUGAAUUCAUCUUCGGGGGUAGAGCACUGUUUCGGCUAGGGGGUCAUCCCGACUUACCAACCCGAUGCAAACUACGAAUACCGAAGAAUGUUAUCACGGGAGACACACGGCGGGUGCUAACGUCCGUCGUGAAGAGGGAAACAACCCAGACCGCCAGCUAAGGUCCCAAAGUCAUGGUUAAGUGGGAAACGAUGUGGGAAGGCACAGACAGCCAGGAUGUUGGCUUAGAAGCAGCCAUCAUUUAAAGAAAGCGUAAUAGCUCACUGGUCGAGUCGGCCUGCGCGGAAGAUGUAACGGGGCUAAACCAUGCACCGAAGCUGCGGCAGCGACACUAUGUGUUGUUGGGUAGGGGAGCGUUCUGUAAGCCUGCGAAGGUGUGCUGUGAGGCAUGCUGGAGGUAUCAGAAGUGCGAAUGCUGACAUAAGUAACGAUAAAGCGGGUGAAAAGCCCGCUCGCCGGAAGACCAAGGGUUCCUGUCCAACGUUAAUCGGGGCAGGGUGAGUCGACCCCUAAGGCGAGGCCGAAAGGCGUAGUCGAUGGGAAACAGGUUAAUAUUCCUGUACUUGGUGUUACUGCGAAGGGGGGACGGAGAAGGCUAUGUUAGCCGGGCGACGGUUGUCCCGGUUUAAGCAUGUAGGCUGGUUGUCCAGGCAAAUCCGGAUAAUCAAGGCUGAGGUGUGAUGACGAGGCACUACGGUGCUGAAGUAACAAAUGCCCUGCUUCCAGGAAAAGCCUCUAAGCAUCAGGUAACAUCAAAUCGUACCCCAAACCGACACAGGUGGUCAGGUAGAGAAUACCAAGGCGCUUGAGAGAACUCGGGUGAAGGAACUAGGCAAAAUGGUGCCGUAACUUCGGGAGAAGGCACGCUGGUGUGUAGGUGAAGUCCCUGCGGAUGGAGCUGAGACCAGUCGAAGAUACCAGCUGGCUGCAACUGUUUAUUAAAAACACAGCACUGUGCAAACACGAAAGUGGACGUAUACGGUGUGACGCCUGCCCGGUGCCGGAAGGUUAAUUGAUGGGGUUAUCCGUAAGGAGAAGCUCUUGAUCGAAGCCCCGGUAAACGGCGGCCGUAACUAUAACGGUCCUAAGGUAGCGAAAUUCCUUGUCGGGUAAGUUCCGACCUGCACGAAUGGCGUAAUGAUGGCCAGGCUGUCUCCACCCGAGACUCAGUGAAAUUGAACUCGCUGUGAAGAUGCAGUGUACCCGCGGCAAGACGGAAAGACCCCGUGAACCUUUACUAUAGCUUGACACUGAACAUUGAGCCUUGAUGUGUAGGAUAGGUGGGAGGCUUUGAAGCGUGGACGCCAGUCUGCGUGGAGCCAACCUUGAAAUACCACCCUUUAAUGUUUGAUGUUCUAACGUUGGCCCCUGACCGGGGUUGCGGACAGUGUCUGGUGGGUAGUUUGACUGGGGCGGUCUCCUCCCAAAGCGUAACGGAGGAGCACGAAGGUUAGCUAAUCCUGGUCGGACAUCAGGAGGUUAGUGCAAUGGCAUAAGCUAGCUUGACUGCGAGCGUGACGGCGCGAGCAGGUGCGAAAGCAGGUCAUAGUGAUCCGGUGGUUCUGAAUGGAAGGGCCAUCGCUCAACGGAUAAAAGGUACUCCGGGGAUAACAGGCUGAUACCGCCCAAGAGUUCAUAUCGACGGCGGUGUUUGGCACCUCGAUGUCGGCUCAUCACAUCCUGGGGCUGAAGUAGGUCCCAAGGGUAUGGCUGUUCGCCAUUUAAAGUGGUACGCGAGCUGGGUUUAGAACGUCGUGAGACAGUUCGGUCCCUAUCUGCCGUGGGCGCUGGAGAAUUGAGGGGGGCUGCUCCUAGUACGAGAGGACCGGAGUGGACGCAUCACUGGUGUUCGGGUUGUCAUGCCAAUGGCACUGCCCGGUAGCUAAAUGCGGAAGAGAUAAGUGCUGAAAGCAUCUAAGCACGAAACUUGCCCCGAGAUGAGUUCUCCCUGAGACUUUAAGUCUCCUGAAGGAACGUUGAAGACGACGACGUUGAUAGGCCGGGUGUGUAAGCGCAGCGAUGCGUUGAGCUAACCGGUACUAAUGAACCGUGAGGCUUAACCUU